This 508-nucleotide ribosomal RNA is filed under the name uncultured bacterium. RNAcentral's name for it is "partial 16S ribosomal RNA". It matches the Rfam family "Bacterial small subunit ribosomal RNA", at positions 29 to 523 of the family's 1533-position model. The record is from RNAcentral.
AUUGAACGCUGGCGGCAGGCCUAACACAUGCAAGUCGAGCGGCAGCGGGAAAGUAGCUUGCUACUUUUGCCGGCGAGCGGCGGACGGGUGAGUAAUGCCUGGGGAUCUGCCCAGUCGAGGGGGAUUACUACUGGAAACGGUAGCUAAUACCGCAUCCGCCCUACGGGGGAAAGCAGGGGACCUUCGGGCCUUGCGGGAUUGGAUGAACCCGGGUGGGAUGUGCUAGUUGGUGAGGUAAUGGCUCGCCAAGGCGACGAUCCCUAGCUGGUCUGGGAGGAUGAUCAGCCACACUGAAACUGAGACACGGUCCAGACUCCUACGGGAGGCAGCAGUGGGGAAUAUUGCACAAUGGGGGAAACCCUGAUGCAGCCAUGCCGCGUGUGUGAAGAAGGCCUUCGGGUUGUAAAGCACUUUCAGCGAGGAGGAAAGGUUGGUAGCUAAUAACUGCCAGCUGUGACGUUACUCGCAGAAGAAGCACCGGCUAACUCCGUGCCAGCCGCCGCCGUAA